Molecule: ribosomal RNA, 499 nt
Filed under: Pantoea sp.
Lineage: Bacteria; Pseudomonadati; Pseudomonadota; Gammaproteobacteria; Enterobacterales; Erwiniaceae
Description: bacterial SSU rRNA
Rfam family: Bacterial small subunit ribosomal RNA
Source: RNAcentral
UGCAGUCGGACGGUAGCACAGAGGAGCUUGCUCCUCGGGUGACGAGUGGCGGACGGGUGAGUAAUGUCUGGGGAUCUGCCCGAUAGAGGGGGAUAACCACUGGAAACGGUGGCUAAUACCGCAUAACGUCGCAAGACCAAAGAGGGGGACCUUCGGGCCUCUCACUAUCGGAUGAACCCAGAUGGGAUUAGCUAGUAGGCGGGGUAACGGCCCACCUAGGCGACGAUCCCUAGCUGGUCUGAGAGGAUGACCAGCCACACUGGAACUGAGACACGGUCCAGACUCCUACGGGAGGCAGCAGUGGGGAAUAUUGCACAAUGGGCGCAAGCCUGAUGCAGCCAUGCCGCGUGUAUGAAGAAGGCCUUCGGGUUGUAAAGUACUUUCAGCGGGGAGGAAGGCGAUGUGGUUAAUAACCGCGUCGAUUGACGUUACCCGCAGAAGAAGCACCGGCUAACUCCGUGCCAGCAGCCGCGGUAAUACGGAGGGUGCAAGCGUUAAU